AGAGGGGAAGAUUUUACACCCAGAGUAUUGGAUAAAGAGCUCGGAACUGGAAGCAGGCCUACACAGGGCCAGAACAUGCAUGACACGUGAGAAGACGCACCUUCAUCUGUGGGGCGAGAAAUGUGCAAAUCGGCAUCAAUACAGAACUGCUGAAGAAAAAAAUAUAUAGUGUCUCCGAAAAGCAACGUAUUCUCUGGAGACUUCAGGAAUCAUCUACACAUCACAAUUCUAUAGACUUCAAAUGCAUGAAGCAUUUGGAUGUGCUGUAACCCAGAGGCAGACCUUCCAUUUAGACAUGGCCACCCGUCCACACGUCACUACGAUUCAUUCAGCCCCGUGUGAGCACUUGCCUAGAAGCUGGAGCCAAGCCACUUGUGCAACCUGUUGUUUAACUUUGGGUAAAUUACUUGCCCACAGAAGGCCCAAGAUGUCUGAUCUUCAAAAAUAUGAAAAUGGAGCUCAGGAAGAGUUCAUCAGAAUACUGCCCUCAGGCCAAAUCCA
Long non-coding RNA from Ailuropoda melanoleuca (giant panda), 501 nucleotides. RefSeq lists it as uncharacterized. The record is from RefSeq and is a predicted model, not a curated record. The transcript is spliced from 3 exons. Lineage: Eukaryota; Metazoa; Chordata; Mammalia; Carnivora; Ursidae.